GUGUGUGUGUCUGUGUGUAUGUGUGUGUAUAUGUGUGUGUGUGUGUGUGUGUCUUUUAAGUUUAAACCAAGUGGAUUUCAGUUUUGAAAGUGACAACACAAAUGAGAGAGUCAUGUGACGCUCAUUCUGCUUUCUGAUUGGACAAUCCUCUUGAGAACCAAGCACAAGGACACAUGUUUUUCACUUCAUGUUUUACACAGUGGAGCUUUAAAGAUGAGUAUUGAUAAUAGUGAAAUGUUCAUGUCAUAACUCCCACUGGUGUUGUUUUUACAACACUCCACUCUGAUGUGUAUUUCAGAACGCAAAGCUCAGAGGCACAACACCAAUGUGGCCUCGGUUCAUUAUGAGAACGCCGAUGAACCGUCAGUGAGGAUCAGAAUGUAGAGCACAGCGCCCCCUGCAGCUCUGCACGUGUGGAGCAUCAGGACUUGAGUGUGGGACAAAUGGCUUUGGCUUUGUACAAACUGCUCCAAUAAACUCAUCAUGUCACUGGGA
Molecule: long non-coding RNA, 495 nt
Organism: Boleophthalmus pectinirostris (great blue-spotted mudskipper)
Lineage: Eukaryota; Metazoa; Chordata; Actinopteri; Gobiiformes; Gobiidae
Exons: 2
Source: RefSeq, a predicted model, not a curated record